AAACAGGCUCUUUAUUAAAUCCACAGUUAUUCAUACGAGAGCCACUCAACAUUUUCAUUAUGGUCUUCU
Triticum aestivum (bread wheat) is the source of this 69-nucleotide non-coding RNA. The record is from Rfam. NCBI's taxonomy places the organism in Eukaryota, Viridiplantae, Streptophyta, Magnoliopsida, Poales, Poaceae.